UACAGAGACUGCAAGCGUUAUUCGGAUUCACUGGGCGUAAAGGGUGCGCAGGCGGCCGGGUGUGUCAGAUGUGAAAUCCCGAGGCUCAACCUCGGAACUGCGUCUGAAACUACUCGGCUAGAGUACUGGAGAGGGUAACGGAAUUCACGGUGUAGCAGUGAAAUGCGUAGAUAUCGGGAGGAACACCAGUGGCGAAGGCGACUUCCUGGCCUGUUCUUGACGCUGAGGCGCGAAAGCUAGGGGAGCAAACGGG
RNAcentral lists this ribosomal RNA (253 nucleotides) under uncultured bacterium. Its description in RNAcentral is "partial 16S ribosomal RNA". It matches the Rfam family "Bacterial small subunit ribosomal RNA", at positions 524 to 776 of the family's 1533-position model. The record is from RNAcentral.